This 587-nucleotide ribosomal RNA is filed under the name uncultured bacterium. Its description in RNAcentral is "bacterial SSU rRNA". It matches the Rfam family "Bacterial small subunit ribosomal RNA", at positions 20 to 593 of the family's 1533-position model. The record is from RNAcentral.
UGGCUCAGGAUGAACGCUAGCUACAGGCUUAACACAUGCAAGUCGAGGGGAAACGAUAUUGGAAGCUUGCUUCCGAUAGGCGUCGACCGGCGCACGGGUGAGUAACGCGUAUCCAACCUGCCCACCACUUGGGGAUAACCUUGCGAAAGUAAGACUAAUACCCAAUGACGUCUCUAGAAGACAUCUGAAAGAGAUUAAAGAUUUAUCGGUGAUGGAUGGGGAUGCGUCUGAUUAGCUUGUUGGCGGGGUAACGGCCCACCAAGGCGACGAUCAGUAGGGGUUCUGAGAGGAAGGUCCCCCACAUUGGAACUGAGACACGGUCCAAACUCCUACGGGAGGCAGCAGUGAGGAAUAUUGGUCAAUGGACGAGAGUCUGAACCAGCCAAGUAGCGUGCAGGAAGACGGCCCUAUGGGUUGUAAACUUCUUUUAUAAAGGAAUAAAGUCGGGUAUGGAUACCCGUUUGCAUGUACUUUAUGAAUAAGGAUCGGCUAACUCCGUGCCAGCAGCCGCGGUAAUACGGAGGAUCCGAGCGUUAUCCGGAUUUAUUGGGUUUAAAGGGAAGCGUAGAUGGAUGUUUAAGUCAGUU